AGAGUUUGAUCCUGGCUCAGGAUGAACGCUGGCGGCGUGCUUAACACAUGCAAGUCGAACGGGAAACUUUUCAUUGAAGCUUCGGCAGAUUUGGUCUGUUUCUAGUGGCGGACGGGUGAGUAACGCGUGGGUAACCUGCCUUAUACAGGGGGAUAACAACCAGAAAUGGUUGCUAAUACCGCAUAAGCGCGCAGGACCGCAUGGUCCGGUGUGAAAAACUCCGGUGGUAUAAGAUGGACCCGCGUUGGAUCAGCUAGUUGGCAGGGUAACGGCCUACCAAGGCGACGAUCCAUAGCCGGCCUGAGAGGGUGAACGGCCACAUUGGGACUGAGACACGGCCCAGACUCCUACGGGAGGCAGCAGUGGGGAAUAUUGCACAAUGGGGGAAACCCUGAUGCAGCGACGCCGCGUGAAGGAAGAAGUAUCUCGGUAUGUAAACUUCUAUCAGCAGGGAAGAUAGUGACGGUACCUGACUAAGAAGCCCCGGCUAACUACGUGCCAGCAGCCGCGGUAAUACGUAGGGGGCAAGCGUUAUCCGGAUUUACUGGGUGUAAAGGGCGUGUAGGCGGGAUUGCAAGUCAGAUGUGAAAACCACGGGCUCAACCUGUGCCCUGCAUUUGAAACUGUAGUUCUUGAGUACUGGAGAGGCAGACGGAAUUCCUAGUGUAGCGGUGAAAUGCGUAGAUAUUAGGAGGAACACCAGUGGCGAAGGCGGUCUGCUGGACAGCAACUGACGCUGAGGCGCGAAAGCGUGGGGAGCAAACAGGAUUAGAUACCCUGGUAGUCCACGCUGUAAACGAUGGAUACUAGGUGUGGGGGGUCUGACCCCCUCCGUGCCGCAGUUAACACAAUAAGUAAUCCACCUGGGGAGUACGCCGGCAACGGUGAAACUCAAAGGAAUUGACGGGGGCCCGCACAAGCGGAGGAACAUGUGGUUUAAUUCGAUGAUACGCGAGGAACCUUACCCGGGCUUGAAUUGCAACUGAAUGAUGUGGAGACAUGUCAGCCGCAAGGCAGUUGUGAAGGUGCUGCAUGGUUGUCGUCAGCUCGUGCCGUGAGGUGUCGGCUUAAGUGCCAUAACGAGCGCAACCCUUAUCGAUAGUUACCAUCAGGUUAUGCUGGGGACUCUGUCGAGACUGCCGUCGUAAGAUGUGAGGAAGGUGGGGAUGACGUCAAAUCAGCACGGCCCUUACGUCCGGGGCUACACACGUGUUACAAUGGGGGGUACAGAAGGCAGCUACACGGUGACGUGAUGCUAAUCCCGAAAGCCUCUCUCAGUUCGGAUUGGAGUCUGCAACCCGACUCCAUGAAGCUGGAUUCGCUAGUAAUCGCGCAUCAGCCACGGCGCGGUGAAUACGUUCCCGGGUCUUGCACACACCGCCCGUCA
Molecule: ribosomal RNA, 1387 nt
Filed under: uncultured bacterium
Lineage: Bacteria
Description: partial 16S ribosomal RNA
Rfam family: Bacterial small subunit ribosomal RNA
Source: RNAcentral